UCAUAUGGGCUCACGUGCUCUGCUUGAGCUCCUCUUUCCUGUGUCACCAUCUAAAAAGUAUCCUUGGUCAGAAAGCUUAAUACCUCCUCUGAAGACUGAUAAUAUACAUCAUCUUCCUGGACCAGUCUACAAGUGAGGGACAGUGAAUAUUUUGAAUGGCAGCUUUUAGGUAACAAAUCCUCAAAGAGAGAUAGAGUCUUACUCAUCUCUAACAUGUGCUUGACUGUGGAAGACUGCCAAUUAAUAAUGAUUGAGUGAUUUGCUAAAUAAAUAAAAUCUCUGAACAUU
RNAcentral lists this long non-coding RNA (288 nucleotides) under Homo sapiens (human). RNAcentral's name for it is "HSALNT0183566". Lineage: Eukaryota; Metazoa; Chordata; Mammalia; Primates; Hominidae. The record is from RNAcentral.